Molecule: small RNA, 366 nt
Filed under: Arabidopsis thaliana (thale cress)
Lineage: Eukaryota; Viridiplantae; Streptophyta; Magnoliopsida; Brassicales; Brassicaceae
Description: ATSL270450
Source: RNAcentral
AUUUUAAAAGCCUAAGUACUGUAUCCUUGUUAGAAGAUACAAAGACAAAGACUCAUACGGACUUUGGCUACACCAUCAAAGCUUUGAAAAGCAAGAAGAAGCUUGGUUAGUGUUUUCGAGUCGAAUAUGACUAGAUGUGAUGUGUAUGAUUGAGUAUAAGAAAUUAAACCGCAAUCGGAUCUUAAAAGCCUAAGUAGUGUUUCCAUGUUAGAAAAUACAAAGCCAAAGCCUCAUACGGACUUUAGCUACACCGUUUAAGCUUUGAGAAGCAAGAAGAAGCUUGGUUAGUGUUUUGGAGUGAAAUAUGACUAGAUGUCAUGUGUAUGAGUGAGUAUAACCGCUAGAACCACAACCGAAUUUUAAAAG